RNAcentral lists this transfer RNA (46 nucleotides) under Grewia biloba. RNAcentral describes it as "tRNA-Gly". It matches the Rfam family "tRNA", at positions 27 to 71 of the family's 71-position model. Rfam says of the family: Transfer RNA (tRNA) molecules are approximately 80 nucleotides in length. The record is from RNAcentral. Lineage: Eukaryota; Viridiplantae; Streptophyta; Magnoliopsida; Malvales; Malvaceae.
UAGCCUUCCAAGCUAACGAUGCGGGUUCGAUUCCCGCUACCCGCUC